GGCUCUGAGCCGCACAGCCAGCCAGAGGGUCUCGUGUGGGCUUCUUCAGCGCUGUUCCCGGGGUCUCCACAAGCCCCCCUGGAAGGAUUGGAGAGAGGGAUGGAGAGGGACAAGCAUGAGGUGGCAGUGAUAACCAUACAGACGAAGCUGCUCUUGACAUGGACUCGCACAAAUGCACAAAAAAUGGCAGGACUCCCAUUGAGAUGUUGCUGAAGUUAACGUCCAAAUGCCCUGCAGACGUGGAAAGCUCUUCUUCAAGCCAUGCCUUUCCAUCCCACAAAGCCAUCAUUUGACUUUGAAGGUCCUUCCUCCUCGUUCUGCCCUUCCUUUGCCCUCAGAGGCCCAAGAUUAACUCAACACAUCAAAGAGCUGUUCCAUUCAAGCCUCGAUGUAGUACCCCCUCCCAGCACACACAUGCCCACAUGCACUUACCAUUAGAAAAAACUUUGGACCUUACCUUUCCCACCUAUUCUGUGGCCUUCAGCAUGCAGCAAGUUUUUCCCUGCCCACUGUUUGUUCUCCAUGCUGUAGGAAGCAGCAUGCUGGGUCACUUUCCCUUCACCUUUUGUGGUGUGGUCUUAAAUCCACCCUUAGUUGCUGGGGGCUAUGCUUGCAUCUCUCAAGAGCUGAUAUCGACAAUCUAGAUGGAAGCAGCCACCACCAGUGGAACGAUCAGGGCCAUGGGUCAAGCUGGUCACUUUUUCAGAGUGGUCAGUGUCCAGUGAGGCAGGUGAAGGGGGCAGCCCUUGUCACUGUGGGAAAGAGAGCAUCAAGAGGAAUUUGCAUGUAUGGCUCAGGUAACAUAGUGGGGGAAGGGUGGAGUGAGGAGACCAAAGCAGACAGAGUAACCCUGACCCUGAGGAAAAAG
Molecule: long non-coding RNA, 868 nt
Organism: Pygocentrus nattereri (red-bellied piranha)
Lineage: Eukaryota; Metazoa; Chordata; Actinopteri; Characiformes; Serrasalmidae
Source: Ensembl